CUCUAAUAUUAUUUCAGAUUAUAUAUUUUACGGAAUAUAUACAGUAAAGUAUUAGAUAUUAAAGGAGUUUAUCCCUUCCUAAUAUAGGUAAACAUGAAUCAAUGAGAUUUAUAUUAGUAACUAAAAUAGUGAAUAUGUAAA
RNAcentral lists this non-coding RNA (141 nucleotides) under chicken gut metagenome. RNAcentral describes it as "RT-14 RNA". It matches the Rfam family "RT-14 RNA". Rfam says of the family: Cloacimonetes, Firmicutes, Proteobacteria. Nearby to self-splicing intron genes The record is from RNAcentral.